AAAGUAGCUUGCUACUUUACCUAGCGGCGGACGGGUGAGUAAUGCUUAGGAAUCUGCCUAUUAGUGGGGGACAACAUCUCGAAAGGGAUGCUAAUACCGCAUACGUCCUACGGGAGAAAGCAGGGGACCUUCGGGCCUUGCGCUAAUAGAUGAGCCUAAGUCGGAUUAGCUAGUUGGUGGGGUAAAGGCCUACCAAGGCGACGAUCUGUAGCGGGUCUGAGAGGAUGAUCCGCCACACUGGGACUGAGACACGGCCCAGACUCCUACGGGAGGCAGCAGUGGGGAAUAUUGGACAAUGGGGGGAACCCUGAUCCAGCCAUGCCGCGUGUGUGAAGAAGGCCUUUUGGUUGUAAAGCACUUUAAGCGAGGAGGAGGCUACCGAGAUUAAUACUCUUGGAUAGUGGACGUUACUCGCAGAAUAAGCACCGGCUAACUCUGUGCCAGCAGCCGCGGUAAUACAGAGGGUGCAAGCGUUAAUCGGAUUUACUGGGCGUAAAGCGCGCGUAGGUGGCCAAUUAAGUCAAAUGUGAAAUCCCCGAGCUUAACUUGGGAAUUGCAUUCGAUACUGGUUGGCUAGAGUAUGGGAGAGGAUGGUAGAAUUCCAGGUGUAGCGGUGAAAUGCGUAGAGAUCUGGAGGAAUACCGAUGGCGAAGGCAGCCAUCUGGCCUAAUACUGACACUGAGGUGCGAAAGCAUGGGGAGCAAACAGGAUUAGAUACCCUGGUAGUCCAUGCCGUAAACGAUGUCUACUAGCCGUUGGGGCCUUUGAGGCUUUAGUGGCGCAGCUAACGCGAUAAGUAGACCGCCUGGGGAGUACGGUCGCAAGACUAAAACUCAAAUGAAUUGACGGGGGCCCGCACAAGCGGG
RNAcentral lists this ribosomal RNA (866 nucleotides) under Acinetobacter lwoffii. Its description in RNAcentral is "bacterial SSU rRNA". It matches the Rfam family "Bacterial small subunit ribosomal RNA", at positions 72 to 933 of the family's 1533-position model. The record is from RNAcentral. Lineage: Bacteria; Pseudomonadati; Pseudomonadota; Gammaproteobacteria; Moraxellales; Moraxellaceae.